UAUUAAUAAGACUGUGGAAUGAACAGUGUUUGUGUACGUGGUUUGUUACAAUUUUCCCUUGAAACACGUGUCCUCAUGUUUACACCUUACUUCUAAACGGUUUUACUUCAGAUGAGAGAGAACCGGAAGAGAGAAAAGGGAGAGAAGAGAGAGGGGCGGUGACCGGAGGGCCACUGUCGUCGCACCACCACCACGGUCACCAUCUCCGAUUUCUUUUUAGGGGUUUUUUCCUCAGAAAAUAGAGAAAGGAAAGAGGGAAGGAGAAGAUGGAGGGUGGAGGGUCACCACUGUUACACCACCACCACGGUUACCAUCUGGUGUCUCUGUUUUGUGGGGGGUGACCUCCAUACGAACCUGGGCUCUCUCGACUGUCGGGAAAUGAACAGCGUUUAUCUUCGUGGUUUGUUCCGAUUGACUUAUUUAGGCAGUCAUCUCCCCUGUGUCUUCCUGCUUUGGUCAUUGGAAACGAUGCCACUGAGACGACGAUUGGUUUCUUAGGGUUUUGCUUUGGCAUCGUCUUUUGUCUGCUGUUGGUUCCUAUGCCUUCAUUGGUUAGGUUUUUUGUCUUGGCUUCAAGGAUUUGACUAAAAAUUGAUGAGCAUGUAGCCUUGGCGUGACCAGGAUGAUGGAUGCACUUCUUUGGGGGAGCAAUGGGUGUCUUCACAACGCAAGCACUUCUACACUCUGUUAAAAGCCAAGCUAUGCCAUGUGUUGGUUAAGCAAGGAUGGUGUGAUCAUAGAGGAACAUAGCAAGAUGUUAAAGCCAAGAUUCAAAUAAGGCAAGGAGGUGCCUUUAAACGUGAAUGAGCGCUAGCAUAUGAUCUUGCUCAAGAGGUAAUGAAUCCUUACAUUAGGGGUGUGAAUUUCUGACGCGACCUGAAAACACGACAUGAGCCUAACACGAAAUUCGCGGGUUUGGGUUUAGUCUAAACGGGUUCGGGUCAGUUUCAGGUUGAACCCGCCAACUCGUUUAGCUAAACAGGUCAGGUUCGGGUCAACCCGGUCGGGUUGGCGGGUUGACCCGUUUAACCCAUUUCUAUAAUAUUAUAUUUUUUACAAUAUGUUUUAUGUUAUAAAUUAAAUUUGGUGUGUAUUUUAUGCUAUACUUAUAACUUAAAAAUAUAAAUUGACAUAAGAUUUUACGAUUCUAAUGUAAUUUUAUUAUCUAAUUUGUGUUUUUUUAGUAGAUGUUAAUUUUAAUAUAUUAAUUUGCUGAAAAAAAAUUUGGGUUGAACGGGUCGGGUCGGGUUCGGGUCAGCCUGCGAAUAUUUGGGUCAGGUUCGGGUUCAUAUGUAUGAAACGAUUUUCGAGUUCAGGUCGGGUUUGUGUUCGUCUAAAAUUUUCGGGUUCCGGUCAGGGUUUUUCUUCGUUUAAUACUUUCUCGAGAUUCUGUAUUUUUUUAUUUUAAAGUCGGGAACAUGCAUUGAAGGAUCAAUGUUGUGAGAUUCCAGACAUUGUUUUACAGAUUUUAGAUCAAAUAACUGCUGCUUCAUUUCCUCCAACCUAAAUUAAAAAAAACCACAAACACCAAUUUUAGAACAUUUUACUCAAUAGGCUAUAGUAUUAUUAACAAGAAACUUGCAAAGGCUUUGGUUAGACCUGUCAUCCGUGUUCCUUUAAUGUCGUCUCUUGCAUUUUGGAUAACAUCUAUAGAUAUGUGCUUUAUAGUAGUCUAGGGGUUCACUGGUGUUCUACAGAAUUCUAGAAGAUUUGGAUCCAGAAAACCUGAAUUUCUACGUGUUGAAGGGCUUGGUGAAUUUUACAGGGACGAACUUCUUAAGAUCGACAGUGGGGACGGUGUAUGAUUACUGAUCGUGGACAUUUUGUUCUUUUCAACAUAUGCGUGCCUUGAGUCGAAUCCCAUCUGAUGAUGCAAAACGGCUUGAAUUCAAGCUCUCAUUCUACAAGAUACUGCAGGUGAAGGCACUAGCGACACAAAGAAGACCAGGUACCCGGAUGCAUGAAGAAAAAAAAUUUUGUGAUCUAUGUAUGAAUAGAAGACUAUGUUCGGACUUCUAUAAUUCUCUUAAUAUGUCACAUUGAGACACGUCAACAACUUUUAGUAUCAACUUCGUUACUAUAAGUGAAAUGUUCAAACCGAUAACAAUUCA
Molecule: long non-coding RNA, 2111 nt
Organism: Helianthus annuus (common sunflower)
Lineage: Eukaryota; Viridiplantae; Streptophyta; Magnoliopsida; Asterales; Asteraceae
Exons: 5
Source: RefSeq, a predicted model, not a curated record